RNAcentral lists this ribosomal RNA (497 nucleotides) under uncultured bacterium. Its description in RNAcentral is "partial 16S ribosomal RNA". It matches the Rfam family "Bacterial small subunit ribosomal RNA", at positions 28 to 507 of the family's 1533-position model. The record is from RNAcentral.
GAUGAACGCUGGCGGCGUGCCUAAUACAUGCAAGUCGAGCGCUCAGACGAGGAGCUUGCUCCUCUGACGUUAGCGGCGGACGGGUGAGUAACACGUAGAUAACCUACCUAUUAGCCUGGGAUAACUUCGGGAAACCGUAGCUAAUACCGGAUAAUAUAUUGAACCACAUGGUUCAAUAGUGAAAGACGGUUUUGCUGUCCCUUAUAGAUGGAUCCGCGCCGCAUUAGCUAGUUGGUAAGGUAACGGCUUCCCAAGGCAACGAUGCGUAGCCGACCGGAGAGGGGGACCGGCCAAACUGGAACUGAGACACGGUCCAGACUCCUACGGGAGGCAGCAGUAGGGAAUUUUCGGAAAUGGGCGAAAGCUUGACGGAGCAACGCCGCGUGAGUGAUGAAGGUCUUCGGAUCGUAAAACUCUGUUAUUAGGGAAGAACAAAUGUGUAAGUAACUAUGCACGUCUUGACGGUACCUAAUCAGAAAGCCACGGCUAACUACGUG